UCAGGCCUAACACAUGCAAGUCGAGCGCGAAAGUCUUCGGAUGAGUAAAGCGGCGAACGGGUGAGUAAUGCAUGGGAAUCUGCCUGGUAGUGGGGGGCAACGUCUCGAAAGGGACGCUAAUACCGCAUACGCCCUACGGGGGAAAGGGGGGGAUCUUCGGACCUCUCGCUAUCAGAUGAGCCCAUGUCAGAUUAGCUAGUUGGUGAGGUAAAGGCUCUCCAAGGCGACGAUCUGUAACUGGUCUGAGAGGAUGAUCAGUCACACUGGAACUGAGACACGGUCCGGACUCCUACGGGAGGCAGCAGUGGGGAAUAUUGGACAAUGGGGGCGACCCUGAUCCAACAAGGGCCGCGUGUGUGAAGAAGGCCCUAGGGU
RNAcentral lists this ribosomal RNA (375 nucleotides) under uncultured bacterium. RNAcentral describes it as "bacterial SSU rRNA". It matches the Rfam family "Bacterial small subunit ribosomal RNA", at positions 43 to 423 of the family's 1533-position model. The record is from RNAcentral.